This 796-nucleotide ribosomal RNA is filed under the name uncultured bacterium. RNAcentral describes it as "bacterial SSU rRNA". It matches the Rfam family "Bacterial small subunit ribosomal RNA", at positions 8 to 798 of the family's 1533-position model. The record is from RNAcentral.
AGAGUUUGAUCAUGGCUCAGAACGAACGCUGGCGGCGCGCCUAAUACAUGCAAGUCGAGCGAGAAGGUGUAGCAAUACACUUGUAAAGCGGCGAACGGGUGAGGAAUGCAUGGGUAACCUACCCUCGAGUGGGGAAUAACUAGCCGAAAGGUUAGCUAAUACCGCAUACGUUUCCGGGACUUCGGUUCCGGAAAGAAAGCAAUACCGUGGGUAUUGCGCUCAUGGAUGGGCUCAUGUCCUAUCAGCUUGUUGGUGAGGUAACGGCUCACCAAGGCUUCGACGGGUAGCUGGUCUGAGAGGACGAUCAGCCACACUGGCACUGCGACACGGGCCAGACUCCUACGGGAGGCAGCAGUAAGGAAUAUUGCGCAAUGGACGAAAGUCUGACGCAGCGACGCCGCGUGGGGGAUGAAGGUCUUCGGAUUGUAAACCCCUUUCGGGAGGGAAGAUGGAGUGGGUAACCACUUGGACGGUACCUCCAGAAGCAGCCACGGCUAACUUCGUGCCAGCAGCCGCGGUAAUACGAAGGUGGCAAGCGUUGUUCGGAUUCACUGGGCGUACAGGGAGCGUAGGCGGUUGGGUAAGCCCUCCGUGAAAUCUCCGGGCCUAACCCGGAAAGUGCAGAGGGGACUGCUCAGCUAGAGGAUGGGAGAGGAGCGCGGAAUUCCCGGUGUAGCGGUGAAAUGCGUAGAGAUCGGGAGGAAGGCCGGUGGCGAAGGCGACGCUCUGGAACAUUUCUGACGCUGAGGCUCGAAAGCGUGGGGAGCAAACAGGAUUAGAUACCCCGGUAGUCCAA